Molecule: ribosomal RNA, 301 nt
Filed under: uncultured bacterium
Lineage: Bacteria
Description: partial 16S ribosomal RNA
Rfam family: Bacterial small subunit ribosomal RNA
Source: RNAcentral
CAGUAGCCACGGUAAUACGAAGGGUGCAAGCGUUACUCGGAAUUACUGGGCGUAAAGCGUGCGUAGGUGGUGGUUUAAGUCCGUUGUGAAAGCCCUGGGCUCAACCUGGGAAUUGCAGUGGAUACUGGGUCACUAGAGUGUGGUAGAGGAUAGUGGAAUUUCCGGUGUAGCAGUGAAAUGCGCAGAGAUCGGGAGGAACAUCAGUGGCGAAGGCGGCCAUCCGGGACAACACUGACGCUGAGGCACGAAAGCGUUGGGAGCAAACAGGAUUAGAUACCCGAGUAGUCCCUGUCUCUUAUAC